GAGUCUGCAACCCGACUCCACGAAGUUGGAUUCGCUAGUAAUCGCGCAUCAGCCAUGGCGCGGUGAAUACGUUCCCGGGCCUUGUACACACCGCCCGUCAAGCCAUGGGAGCCGGGGGCGCCUGAAGUCCGGGACCGCGAGGACCGGCCUAGGGCGAAACUGGUAACUGGGGCUAAGUCGUAACAAGGUACC
RNAcentral lists this ribosomal RNA (192 nucleotides) under uncultured bacterium. RNAcentral describes it as "partial 16S ribosomal RNA". It matches the Rfam family "Bacterial small subunit ribosomal RNA", at positions 1301 to 1500 of the family's 1533-position model. The record is from RNAcentral.